UUUGAAGCAGAUGAUGGAAC
RNAcentral lists this microRNA (20 nucleotides) under Prunus persica (peach). RNAcentral describes it as "microRNA miRNA_226". The record is from RNAcentral. Lineage: Eukaryota; Viridiplantae; Streptophyta; Magnoliopsida; Rosales; Rosaceae.